Molecule: unclassified non-coding RNA, 337 nt
Filed under: soil metagenome
Description: partial contains 5.8S ribosomal RNA, internal transcribed spacer 2, and large subunit ribosomal RNA
Rfam family: 5.8S ribosomal RNA (bases 1-120)
Source: RNAcentral
GAUGAAGAACGCAGCGAAAUGCGAUAAGUAGUGUGAAUUGCAGAAUUCAGUGAAUCAUCGAAUCUUUGAACGCACAUUGCGCCCCUUGGUAUUCCAUGGGGCAUGCCUGUUCGAGCGUCAUUUGUACCUUCAAGCUCUGCUUGGUGUUGGGUGUUUGUCUCGCCUCUGCGUGUAGACUCGCCUCAAAACAAUUGGCAGCCGGCGUAUUGAUUUCGGAGCGCAGUACAUCUCGCGCUUUGCACUCAUAACGACGACGUCCGAAAGUACAUUUUUACACUCUUGACCUCGGAUCAGGUAGGGAUACCCGCUGAACUUAAGCAUAUCAAUAAGCGGAGGA